CAGCCGCCGCGGUAAUACGAGGGGGGCAAGCGCUGUUCGGAAUUAUUGGGCGUAAAGGGCUCGCAGGCGGUUUCUUAAGUCUGAUGUGAAAGCCCCCGGCUCAACCGGGGAGGGUCAUUGGAAACUGGGAAACUUGAGUGCAGAAGAGGAGAGUGGAAUUCCACGUGUAGCGGUGAAAUGCGUAGGGAUGUGGAGGAACACCAGUGGCGAAGGCGACUCUCUGGUCUGUAACUGACGCUGAGGAGCGAAAGCGUGGGGAGCGAACAGGAUUAGAUACCCCGGUAGUCCCUGUCUCUUAUAC
This 301-nucleotide ribosomal RNA is filed under the name uncultured bacterium. Its description in RNAcentral is "partial 16S ribosomal RNA". It matches the Rfam family "Bacterial small subunit ribosomal RNA", at positions 509 to 807 of the family's 1533-position model. The record is from RNAcentral.